This is a long non-coding RNA of Oncorhynchus masou masou (cherry salmon), 687 nucleotides long. RefSeq lists it as uncharacterized. The transcript has 3 exons. The record is from RefSeq and is a predicted model, not a curated record. NCBI's taxonomy places the organism in Eukaryota, Metazoa, Chordata, Actinopteri, Salmoniformes, Salmonidae.
AACAUCUUGCUUGAAAGAGAUUGCAUACUUAAAACGUUCUUUCUACUGCAGUCGACCACAGACAGACAGAGACACCAAUGGAGAGGCACAUCAGACAACAACUUGUCAUUGAAGUUAGAAUCAUACAGCAGAUAUUACAAUUAGGAGUCUGUUAGAAAGGUAUUCAUACAGUAGAAGUAAGUUAAUACUAUAAGUAAAAGUAAAAAUCAUAUAUAUUACAAUAAAAGGUCAGACAGUCUGAAUUAGUUGAUUAACUGAUUGAGUGGGGUCAUCAUUGAUAUUCGGUACGGUUAGUUAAGAUGGCCGACUACGUCAACAAACAGGUGAUUGAAUUAAAAGAAGUUAAUGAAGAAAACCAGAAUAGAGCAACGAGGAGCGUGAAGGCUGAGACCCAUCUCUCAGAUAACAGAGGCAAUGUGACUGCAGAGAAAGACCUGCUACAGACCAGUUACAACACCCUGAGUGAAGAGAGAGACCAGCUACAGACCAGAUACAACACACUGACUGAAGAGAGAGACGAGCUACAGAGCAGUUACAACACCCUGACUAAAAAGAGAGACCAGCUACAGAAGGAAAGAGAUGAUCUCACGUCAACAUUCUCUAAUCUGAAACAAACCUGUCCUGAAGGCUGGCAGAAGUUUGAAUCCAGUUGGUACUUCCUGUCUACAGUGACAAAUCCCUGGAGGA